GCCCGCUGCUUAGCUCAGUCGGUAGAGCACGAGACUCUUAAUCUCGGGGUCGUGAGUUCCGGAGAGAAACCCCACGUUGGGCA
Molecule: non-coding RNA, 83 nt
Organism: Trichonephila inaurata madagascariensis
Lineage: Eukaryota; Metazoa; Arthropoda; Arachnida; Araneae; Nephilidae
Source: the annotation of a GenBank genome assembly